GCAUAUCAAUAAGCGGAGGAAAAGAAACCAACAGGGAUUGCCCUAGUAACGGCGAGUGAAGCGGCAACAGCUCAAAUUUGAAAUCUGGCUCUCUUUGGGGGUCCGAGUUGUAAUUUGCAGAGGAUGCUUUGGCAUUGGCGGCGGUCUAAGUUCCUUGGAACAGGACAUCGCAGAGGGUGAGAAUCCCGUACGUGGGCGCCUGCCUUUGCCGUGUAAAGCUCCUUCGACGAGUCGAGUUGUUUGGGAAUGCAGCUCUAAAUGGGAGGUAAAUUUCUUCUAAAGCUAAAUACCGGCCAGAGACCGAUAGCGCACAAGUAGAGUGAUCGAAAGAUGAAAAGUACUUUGGAAAGAGAGUCAAAAAGCACGUGAAAUUGUUGAAAGGGAAGCGCUUGCAGCCAGACUUGCCCGCAGUUGCUCACCUAGGCUUUGGCCUGGGGCACUCUUCUGCGGGCAGGCCAGCAUCAGUUUGGGCGGUCGGACAAAGGCCUCUGUCAAGUAUCUCCCUUCGGGGUGACCUUAUAGGGGAGGCGUAAUGCGACCAGCCCGGACUGAGGUCCGCGCAUCUGCUAGGAUGCUGGCGUAAUGGCUGUAAGCGGCCCGUCUUGAAACACGGACC
This 616-nucleotide ribosomal RNA is filed under the name Paraconiothyrium cyclothyrioides. RNAcentral describes it as "eukaryotic LSU rRNA". It matches the Rfam family "Eukaryotic large subunit ribosomal RNA", at positions 38 to 667 of the family's 3401-position model. Lineage: Eukaryota; Fungi; Ascomycota; Dothideomycetes; Pleosporales; Didymosphaeriaceae. The record is from RNAcentral.